CCGGAACCGCUCGGCAUACGUCAGGAUCCAGAUCUAUUGUUGAGCAUACCAUUGAUCUGGAACGUGAGCUUGCCCGACAGCCUACAUGUAUGGAGAUUUUUCUGAAGACCCACAAGAAGAAGGAUGGGUCAUUUGUUGAUUCUCGAUCUCAAACUCUACAUCAAGAAAUGACAGAACGGGUGGCUCAGGCAUCUCAGCCAUCAGCAGAGGGUGGAGAGUCACAG
Molecule: long non-coding RNA, 224 nt
Organism: Zingiber officinale
Lineage: Eukaryota; Viridiplantae; Streptophyta; Magnoliopsida; Zingiberales; Zingiberaceae
Exons: 3
Source: RefSeq, a predicted model, not a curated record